Molecule: long non-coding RNA, 2883 nt
Filed under: Homo sapiens (human)
Lineage: Eukaryota; Metazoa; Chordata; Mammalia; Primates; Hominidae
Description: non-protein coding lnc-SETD9-6:1
Source: RNAcentral
CUGAGACAAGGUCUUGCUCUGUCACCCAGGCUAGAGUGUGCUCCAUUAUCACAGCUCACUGCAGCCUUGACCUCCUGGGCUCAAGCAAUCUUCCGGCCUCAGCCUUCUGAGUAGCUGGGACUACAGGUACAUACCACCAUGUCUGGCUAAUUUUUGUAUUUUUUGGUAGAGACGGGGUUUUGCCAUGUUGCCUAGAACUCUAGGCAAAACAUGUUGCCUUGAACUCUAGGUAAAACAUGUUGUCUUGAACUCUAGGCAAAACAUAUUGUCUUGAACUCUGGGGUUCAAGUGAUCUGCCCGCCUUGGCCUCCCCAAGUGCUGGGGUUACAGGUGUGAGCCAUUGUGCCUGGCUCCUCUUAGCUGUUUUUUUCUUUUCUUUUUUUUUUAAGGCAUUCUCCCUCCCAAGUAGCUGGAAUUAACAGGCGCUUGCCAUCAUGACCAGCUAAUUCAGCUAAUUUUUGUAUUUUUAGUAGAGGCAGGUUUCGCCAUGUUGGCCAGGCUGGUCUUGAACUCCGGACCUUAAGUGAUCCAUCUGCUUCUGCUGUCCAAAGUGCUUGAAUUACAGGUGUGAGCCGCCGUGCCUGGCCUUGCUCUUAGCUUUUUGAAGGGACUGCCUCAUCUCAUAAAGAUUUGUUUACUGUGACCCUUGCCUUUAAAAAUUUCCCCAAUUUUGAACUGUUGAGUCAGAAGCCUUGAAACCUAGGUAAUUUUUGCUCUCAGGUUCAAAGAAACAAAAUACAUUUAUCUUUAGGUUUUUUUUUUUUUUGUUUGUUUGAGACCGAGUGUCACUCUAUCACCAGGCUGGAGUGCAGUGGUGCGAUCUCAGCUCACUGCAACCUCCGCCUCCUGGGUUCAAGUGAUUCUCCUGCCUCAGCCUCCCGAGUAGCUGGGACUACAGAUGCGCAUCACCACACCCAGCUAAUUUUUGUAUUUUUAGUAGAGACGAGGUUUCACUGUGUUGGCCAGGAUGGUCUCAAUCUCUUGACCUCAUGAUCCGCCCACCUCUGCCUCCCAAAGUGCUGGGAUUACAGGCGUGAGCCACCACGCCGGCCUGUCUAGGUUUUAAGGAGUGGCUUUGAAAUAUAUGAGCAGAAUUUAAGACUUAUCAUUUUUCAGAGAUGAGACCAUGAUAGUUCAUUUGUAGUGUGUCUUUGAGGAGGAUACUAAUGCAGAUAAAUAUCCACAGAGCUUUAAUUAUUUUUGGUGUUACAAAGUUUAUCUGUGUGAUCUUGUUUUCCUUCUAUGUAAGAAAAACAUGUUAUAUAGAUCCCUUGCAAGGACGUUAUUUACUGAAGCUCUUAGAAGGAUGCUAAACUUGAGGCUGUUUCAGGUGAGUAUCCUCAGGAGAGUGUUGAAAUUGUUUCUGGAACACUGGCUAGGUUGAAAACUACUUGAAAAAUGCACUUACCUGAGCUGGGUGCCUUAAUUUUUUUCUUUUAACUUGACUGGUAGUUUCACAUUUCUAUUAAGUACUUCCUGUUAAGUACUUCUGAGUACUUAAUUUGCUGAGAGGACAGUAGUCUGUUUGGGGAUAGCGCUAGAUUGCAGUGGUAGCUCAAAUUGCUCAUCUUUUACCUGUCUAGGUGAUUGAGACCUGUAUUUUGUACUUUUUGACACAGCAGUAGUGUAAGACAGUGCCUGAGUAAAACUUAAAAUUUAGGAGUUGGCUGGGCACGGUGGCUCACGCCUGUAAUCCCAGCACUUUGGGAGGCUGAGGUAGGUGGAUCACCUGAGGUCAGGAGUUCGAGACCAGCCUGACCAACAUGGAGAAACUCCGUCUCUACUAAAAAUACAAAAUUAGCCUGGCGUGAUGGUGAAUGGCUGUAAUCCCAGCUACUCAGGAGGCUGAGGCAGGAGAAUCGCUUGAACCUGGGAGGCGGAGGUUGCGGUGAGCUGCGAUCACGCCAUUGCACUCCGGUCUGGGCAACGAGAGCGGAACUCCGUCUCAAAAAAAAAAAAAAAAAAAAAUUAGGAGUUACUUACAUGUCUAUUACGAAGGCUAAUGUUUUGUGUUAGAUAAGAUCUCUGUCUGAUGUAUCCUAUGUUACUUACAGUAUGUAUAUGUAUCCAGAGCAGUUAAGAGUUUCAGCUACUAUUUGACCUUGGGAACUUUAAAAUGGACUUCACGUUUAUAUAAACACUUAUUUUUCUUGUUUUGAAAAGAAGGUAACAUCAACCUCCUGGAGAUGGGAUGAGGACUAAAUGAGAUGAAUGUUAAAGAAACUGUUGGCCGGGCACGGUGACUCAUGUCUGUAAUCCCAGCACUUUGGGACGCCAAGGCGAGUGGAUCACCUAAGGUCAGGAGUUGAAGACCAGCCUGGCCAACAUGGUGAAACCCUGUCUCGACUAAAAAUACAAAAAUUAGCUGGGCAUGGUGGUGGGUGCCUGUAAUCCCAGAUACUCAGGAGGCUGAGGCAGGAGAAUUGCUUGAACUGGGAGGCCGAGGUUGCAGUGAGCCGAGAUCGAGCCCUUGUGCUCUCGCCUGGGUGACAAGAGUGAAACUCCAUCUCAAAAAGAAACUGCCUAGGCCGAGUGCCGUGGCUUACUCCUGUAAUCCAGCACUUUGGGAAGUCGAGGUAGGAGAUCACUUGAGUUCAGGAAUUUGAGACCAGCUUGGGCAACAUGAUGAAACCCCAUCUCCACAAAAAAAUACAAAAACGACCUGGGCAUGGUGACUUGCGCCUGUAGUCCCACCUGCUUGCGGGGCUGAGGUGGGAAGAUCGCUUGAGCCCAGGAGGUGGAGGUUGCAGUGAGCCAAGAUCAUGCCACUGCACUCAAGCUUGGGCAAUAGAAUGAGACCCUGUCUCAAAAAAAAAAAAAAAAAAAAAAACUAUGAAAAGUAUUCUGUCUUUGUUAGUGCUAUCUGGUUCGUAGGAUUAGGCG